CUCCAGCAGAACCCUGACUUGUUCAGCAAUUCCGUCUUCAUCUGGAAUUAACAUCCCAGUCUACCUGGGCCCCAAAUAUGUCUGUAACUCCCAUGAGAAGAAAAUCCUCUGAAAGGAAAAGAGAACACCUGUAUACCUUCUUUUCUUUCUUCUUCUCCCACCCAAGCAUCUACCACACUGCCAGAUAUGUAUGAUGUUACCCAAAGGAGUUCUACAGAUGUGGAUUUCUCAGAGAACCAAGAAGAUGAGCGCAAGAAGCCAGGAACUGCGUCAUUCCUACAUCAUUAGAGUAUUCUCCUGCGUCACCUCCAGGGAAGAGGCUAUCAGAGCUUCCCUGGAAUAUGGACAUAAUAUGGAGUAUCUCAGAUUAUGCAGAUAUGGGUAACCAAACAGAAGGAGCGUGGAACCCUGUGGAGCCACCAUACCAGCCCUGGACUGCUCAAACAAGAUCAUCACGUGAGAAAGAGCCAACCCUCUAUCUUGUUAAACCCCUGUGUCACCUGGGUGACAGCUACAAUGGCUUUCUGUGCUCUGUCCCUCCCCAACCCUAUGCACUCUCUCACUCACCACAUCCAGCAAAUGCAGGUCUUUAUGGGAAGGCUAUUCUCAGGCCGCCAGCACUUCCGGUCACUUAUGCACCCCUCCCCAAGGACAGCAGUCCUUAUGCAAUGACUGAUGGGGCCAGGAGUAUUACAAAGGCUUUACCUUCUUAUCUUGUUCUUGAUUGUGACAGCUGUUAGGAAUAAGCUCCAGAACUCCCCUGCAGGACUGAGCCAACAGUGUCCUCCCCGAGAUCUUGUGUGAUCCUUGCUGCACCCUUGCUUGGCCUCCAGUCCCCUUCCCUCUUCUCAGACGCACUUCCUCACCCCUACCAAGUUUCCCUGAAAUUCUUCCUAGUAAGUCACUGCCCCCAUGAAAUCUCAUCCCAUGUUCUAUUUCCAGGGACCCAAACCUGAGAUGGGAUAUAUCUCACUGGAUAUAUCCAACGAGCACCAUCCCAUUCCCUAGGGUUCCUCACAGUUAUUACACCUGUACACCCUGCCAAACCUUGCCCUGUGCAAAAUCAAAUAGACGGUGACUCUCUUAAAUCAAAAUGGAAUUAUAGGGUAUACCACAUACCUCACCUUUUUCACUUAAAACAGUUCAUGGACCAUAUUCCACGACUGUAGAAUAUACAUACACCUCAUUAUUAUUCAGGAUAUAUGGUUGCCUAUAAUUUGAAGUCUAAAUAAACAUCAAAAACAUU
Felis catus (domestic cat) is the source of this 1246-nucleotide long non-coding RNA. RefSeq lists it as uncharacterized. NCBI's taxonomy places the organism in Eukaryota, Metazoa, Chordata, Mammalia, Carnivora, Felidae. The record is from RefSeq and is a predicted model, not a curated record. The transcript has 3 exons.